CAGCAGCCACGGUAAUACGAGGGGGGCAAGCGUUGUUCGGAAUUAUUGGGCGUAAAGGGCGCGUAGGCGGUUUGGCAAGUUUCGUGUGAAAUCUUCGGGCUCAACUCGAAGUCUGCACGGAAAACUGCCGGGCUUGAGUAUGGGAGAGGUGAGUGGAAUUUCCGGUGUAGCGGUGAAAUGCGUAGAUAUCGGAAGGAACACCUGUGGCGAAAGCGGCUCACUGGACCAUAACUGACGCUGAGGCGCGAAAGCUAGGGGAGCAAACAGGAUUAGAUACCCCCGUAGUCCCUGUCUCUUAUAC
RNAcentral lists this ribosomal RNA (301 nucleotides) under uncultured bacterium. Its description in RNAcentral is "partial 16S ribosomal RNA". It matches the Rfam family "Bacterial small subunit ribosomal RNA", at positions 509 to 807 of the family's 1533-position model. The record is from RNAcentral.